UACGUAGGGGGCAAGCGUUGUCCGGAAUUAUUGGGCGUAAAGGGCAUGUAGGCGGCCAUUCGCGUCCACUGUGAAAGGCCCCGGCUUAACCGGGGGACGGCAGUGGAAACGGGAUGGCUUGAGGUCAGGAGAGGAGCGCGGAAUUCCCAGUGUAGCGGUGGAAUGCGUAGAUAUUGGGAGGAACACCAGUGGCGAAGGCGGCGCUCUGGCCUGGACCUGACGCUGAGGUGCGAAAGCGUGGGGAGCGAACGGG
RNAcentral lists this unclassified non-coding RNA (253 nucleotides) under uncultured bacterium. Its description in RNAcentral is "contains 16S-23S intergenic spacer region". It matches the Rfam family "Bacterial small subunit ribosomal RNA", at positions 524 to 776 of the family's 1533-position model. The record is from RNAcentral.